UAAUAAUUUUAAUAAAUCUAUAAAGUUUUAUUUUGGCUUAAAAAAUUUAUUAUUAAUUUAUAUUAUAUGUAAAUUUUUGUGUGAUUAUUUAUUUACUUUAAAAGUAUUUAUUAUAUUUAAUAAAUUUAUAUUUAUAUUUGCAGUAAUUAAUAUUAUUAAUUAAAGAAAUUUAGAAAUAGAAAUAUUAAUUAAUAUUAACUUAAUUUGUGCCAGCAGUUGCGGUUAAACAAAUAAUAUAAGUAAAUUAUAUCAAUUAAAGUUAAAUAUUUUUAUGAAAAUAAAAAAUAAUUUAUUAAGUGAAAUUUUUAUUUUAUUUAUGAUUUUUUAAAUAAAAAAUGAUUGAAGCUAAAAAAUUUUAAUUAAAAACUAGGAUUAGAUACCCUAUUAUUUAAAAUGUAAUUAAAUUUAUUUGAGUAGUAUUAGUUAUGUUCUUGAAACUUAAAAAAUUUGGCGGUAUUUUAGUCUAUUCAGAGGAACUUGUUUUAUAAUCGAUAAUCCACGAUGUACCUUACUUAAAAUUGUAAUUCAAUUUAUAUAUCGUUGUUAUUAGAAUAUUUUAUAAGAAUAAUAAUUUUCUAUAAUUUAUAUUAAAAUUAAUAUCAAAUCAAGGUGUAGUUUAUUUUUAAGUAUAAAUGAGUUACAAUAAAAUUUAUUUAUAUGAAUUUAAAUAUGAAAAAUUUAAUGAAAGUGGAUUUGAUAGUAAAAUUAUAAAGAUAAAUAAUUUGAUUUUAGCUCUAAAAUAUGUACAUAUCGCCCGUCGCUCUUAUUACUAAAAUAAGAUAAGUCGUAACAUAGUAGAUGUACUGGAAAGUGUAUCUAGAA
This 822-nucleotide non-coding RNA is filed under the name Rhingia xanthopoda. The record is from RNAcentral. Lineage: Eukaryota; Metazoa; Arthropoda; Insecta; Diptera; Syrphidae.